UAGGAGGGCGCGGCGGUCGCUGC
Molecule: small nuclear RNA, 23 nt
Filed under: Arabidopsis thaliana (thale cress)
Lineage: Eukaryota; Viridiplantae; Streptophyta; Magnoliopsida; Brassicales; Brassicaceae
Description: snRNA_02635
Source: RNAcentral